RNAcentral lists this transfer RNA (77 nucleotides) under Acidobacteriota bacterium. Its description in RNAcentral is "Acidobacteria bacterium tRNA-Pro". It matches the Rfam family "tRNA". From Rfam's summary of the family: Transfer RNA (tRNA) molecules are approximately 80 nucleotides in length. Their secondary structure includes four short double-helical elements and three loops (D, anti-codon, and T loops). Further hydrogen bonds mediate the characteristic L-shaped molecular structure. tRNAs have two regions of fundamental functional importance: the anti-codon, which is responsible for specific mRNA codon recognition, and the 3' end, to which the tRNAs corresponding amino acid is attached (by aminoacyl-tRNA synthetases). tRNAs cope with the degeneracy of the genetic code in two manners: having more than one tRNA (with a specific anti-codon) for a particular amino acid; and 'wobble' base-pairing, i.e. permitting non-standard base-pairing at the 3rd anti-codon position. The record is from RNAcentral. RNAcentral also lists the same sequence under 2 other names. Lineage: Bacteria; Pseudomonadati; Acidobacteriota.
CGGGGCGUAGCGCAGCCUGGUAGCGCACCUGCCUUGGGCGCAGGGGGUCGCGAGUUCGAAUCCCGCCGCCCCGACCA